CCAGACUCCUACGGAGGCAGCAGUGGGGAAUAUUGCACAAUGGGGGAAACCCUGAUGCAGCGACGCCGCGUGAGUGAAGAAGUAAUUCGUUAUGUAAAGCUCUAUCAGCAGGGAAGAAAAUGACGGUACCUGACUAAGAAGCCCCGGCUAACUACGUGCCAGCAGCCGCGGUAAUACGUAGGGGGCAAGCGUUAUCCGGAUUUACUGGGUGUAAAGGGAGCGUAGACGGAAUUGCAAGUCUGAAGUGAAAGGCGGGGGCCCAACCCCCGGACUGCUUUGGAAACUGUAUGGCUGGAGUGCAGGAGAGGUAAGUGGAAUUCCUAGUGUAGCGGUGAAAUGCGUAGAUAUUAGGAGGAACACCAGUGGCGAAGGCGGCUUACUGGACUGUAACUGACGUUGAGGCUCGAAAGCGUGGGGAGCAAACAGGAUUAGAUACCCGCGUAGA
This 445-nucleotide ribosomal RNA is filed under the name uncultured bacterium. RNAcentral's name for it is "bacterial SSU rRNA". It matches the Rfam family "Bacterial small subunit ribosomal RNA", at positions 331 to 794 of the family's 1533-position model. The record is from RNAcentral.